CCUGCCACCAUCAUUACGCACUCCUGCCACCAUCAUUACGCACUCCUGCCACCAUCAUUACGCACUCCUGCCACCAUCAUUACGCACAACUGCCUUUCCCCGUCAUGUGCAUAAGCGUAUUAUCGGACUCACCUGGACUCAAUCACAUGUUUAUUACCUCCCCUAUAUUUGUCAGUUACCCAUCUCUGUUCCCCGCUGCUGCAUUGAUUGUCGAAUGUCGUUGUUUUGCCCGUGUGCUGACGCUGUGCCUGUCUUGUUUCAUGUCUGCUCUUCAAGAAAUGUUGACUCCCCUAACUGCUUCCACCGGCGUCGGUACUUACAGACACCGGCGUCGGUACUUACAGAAUACAGCAGCCACCAAUCGGGGGGUGCUGGCUUUCCGGUUGGUGGUGAAGUCGGGUCGGGGGGCCGCCACCGAUGGAACCGUGGGUGACUAAGCCAGCUUGUCGGGCUGUCAUGCCCUAGCUGGCUCGAGAGGUUUCUUGCUCCGGUUGGCGUGGCAAGGCGCCCAUCCCACGUCAGGCCUCAGCCAGUUCGUCAGGCUGCUACGCAUCCGCUGGAUCAUCAGACUCCCACGCCUCAGCCAGUUCGUCAGGCUGCUACGCAUCCGCUGGAUCAUCAGACUCCCACGCCUCUGCCGGCUUGUCCAGUGCCCAUGCCUCGGCCGGCCCAUCUCGCUCGCCCAGGUGGGACGUCCGGUGGCGCCCCUAGAGGGUGGGGUACUGUCACGCCUGGUCAUGCUCUUUCCCCCUGGCGCUCGAGGGCGCCAGGCUCCGCAGCAUUACGCACUCCUUCCACCAUCAUUACGCACACCUGCCUUUGCCCAUCAUGCGCAUCAGCAUAUUAUCGGCCUCACCUGGACUCAAUCACCUGUUUAUUACCUCCCCUAUAUUUGUUAAGUACCCAUCUCUGUUCCCCGCUGCUGCAUUAAUUGUCAAAUGUCAUUGAUUUGCUCAUUUGCUGACGCUGUGCCUGUCUUGUUUCAUGUCUGUUCUUCAUUAAAUGUUGACUCACUGAACCUGCUUCUCGUCUCCGGCGUCGGUCCUUACAUAAAACCACUCGAUUUAUUUAAAAUAAUAAUUUUAUAUGUGAUAUGAUAUAAACCAGAAUGUGAAAACAAC
This 1121-nucleotide long non-coding RNA is filed under the name Salmo salar (Atlantic salmon). Its description in RNAcentral is "lncRNA (ENSSSAG00000095167.1)". The record is from RNAcentral. Lineage: Eukaryota; Metazoa; Chordata; Actinopteri; Salmoniformes; Salmonidae.